This 257-nucleotide ribosomal RNA is filed under the name uncultured bacterium. RNAcentral describes it as "partial 16S ribosomal RNA". It matches the Rfam family "Bacterial small subunit ribosomal RNA", at positions 793 to 1050 of the family's 1533-position model. The record is from RNAcentral.
GUCCACGCCGUAAACGAUGAGAACUAGAUGUCGGGAGGGUUGCCUUUCGGUGUCGCAGCUAACGCGUUAAGUUCUCCGCCUGGGGAGUACGCCGGCAACGGUAAAACUCAAAGGAAUUGACGGGGACCCGCACAAGCGGUGGAGCAUGUGGUUUAAUUCGAUGCAACGCGAAGAACCUUACCUGCCCUUGACAUCCUCAGAACUUGUUAGAGAUAACUUGGUGCCUUCGGGAAUUGAGUGACAGGUGCUGCAUGGCU